Molecule: ribosomal RNA, 684 nt
Filed under: Plectania milleri
Lineage: Eukaryota; Fungi; Ascomycota; Pezizomycetes; Pezizales; Sarcosomataceae
Description: eukaryotic LSU rRNA
Rfam family: 5.8S ribosomal RNA (bases 272-425)
Source: RNAcentral
ACAAGGUUUCCGUAGGUGAACCUGCGGAAGGAUCAUUAUCUAUUCAUGAAAUACGGGAGUGCAACAGCCCUCUGGGGCUCCUUAAAUGGUGACCCCCCUGUGGACACGCCUCGUACUCUCAUUGAAAUCCCAUCUGUGUAUAUGACUUCUGUUGCUUCCCACAAAGCGGACGCUUGGGUGUAAAAUCCCUAGGGUUAGCCUGUGGGGAGGAAAUCAUAAACUCUGUUUGUUGUAUUGUUAGUCUGAGUGGUUAUCACAUAAAAUAAGUUAAAACUUUCAACAACGGAUCUCUUGGUUCUCGCAUCGAUGAAGAACGCAGCGAAAUGCGAUAAGUAGUGUGAAUUGCAGAAUUCAGUGAAUCAUCGAAUCUUUGAACGCACAUUGCGCCUUCUGGUAUUCCGGAAGGCAUGCCUGUUCGAGCGUCAUCAAACACAUCCUCAAGCAGCUUUGCUUGGUAUUGGAGGAAGAUGUCCGUAUCCCCUCUCAAAUCCCUCAGCGGAAACCUCUGCAGUCUCAGGUGUGAUAAUUAUUUUUCGCUUGAUGACUGUGGGUAUGUUCUUGCUGUUAAGAGCCCCCCAGCUUCUUUUUGCGUUUGACCUCGGAUCAGGUAGGGAUACCCGCUGAACUUAAGCAUAUCAAUAAGCGGAGGAAAAGAAACCAACAGGGAUUGCCCCAGUAACGGCG